UACAGAGGGUGCGAGCGUUGUUCGGAAUCACUGGGCAUAAAGGGCGCGUAGGCGGCUUUCUAAGUCAGGGGUGAAAUCCGGCAGCUCAACUGUCGCAGUGCCUUUGAUACUGGAGAGCUCGAGGGAGGUAGGGGUCUGUGGAACUUCCGGUGGAGCGGUGAAAUGCGUUGAUAUCGGAAGGAACGCCGGUGGCGAAAGCGACGGACUGGAUCUCUUCUGACGCUGAGGCGCGAAAGCCAGGGGAGCAAACGGG
This 253-nucleotide ribosomal RNA is filed under the name uncultured bacterium. Its description in RNAcentral is "partial 16S ribosomal RNA". It matches the Rfam family "Bacterial small subunit ribosomal RNA", at positions 524 to 776 of the family's 1533-position model. The record is from RNAcentral.